UGAGGAAUUUUGCGCAAUGGGAGCAAUCCUGACGCAGCAACGCCGCGUGGGUGAAGAAGGCCUUCGGGUCGUAAAGCCCUGUCAGGUGGGAAGAAGGGUCCUAUCAGGAAAGGGGUGGGAUUUGACGGUACCACCAGAGGAAGCACCGGCUAACUCCGUGCCAGCAGCCGCGGUAAUACGGAGGGUGCGAGCGUUAUUCGGAAUUACUGGGCGUAAAGCGCGUGUAGGCGGGGGAGCAAGUCUGAUGUGAAAGCCCCGGGCUUAACCCGGGGAAGUGAAUGGGAACUGGUUUUUCUUGGUAAUUGGGGGGGAGGGGGAAUUCCCGGGUGUAGGGGGAAAAUUGGAAGAGUUGGGGGGAAAUCCCGGGGGGGAGGGGGCCUUCUGGGCGGUUAACUAACGCUGGACGGCAAAGGCGGGGGAGCAAACAG
This 428-nucleotide ribosomal RNA is filed under the name uncultured bacterium. Its description in RNAcentral is "partial 16S ribosomal RNA". It matches the Rfam family "Bacterial small subunit ribosomal RNA", at positions 355 to 775 of the family's 1533-position model. The record is from RNAcentral.